GACGCUAGCGGCAGGCUUAAUACAUGCAAGUCGUGGGGCAGCACAGUGUAGCAAUACAUGGGUGGCGACCGGCAAACGGGUGCGGAACACGUACGCAACCUCCCUUCAAGUGGGGAAUAGCCCAGGGAAACUUGGAUUAAUACCCCGUAAUAUUUCGAGGUGGCAUCACCUUGAUCUUAUAGCUACGGCGCUUGAAGAUGGGCGUGCGACUGAUUAGGUAGUUGGCGGGGUAACGGCCCACCAAGCCUGCGAUCAGUAACUGGUGUGAGAGCACGACCAGUCACACGGGCACUGAGACACGGGCCCGACUCCUACGGGAGGCAGCAGUAAGGAAUAUUGGUCAAUGGACGCAAGUCUGAACCAGCCAUGCCGCGUGGAGGAUGAAGGUCCUCUGGAUUGUAAACUUCUUUUAUUUGGGAAGAAACCCACGGUUUCUACUGUGGUUGACGGUACCAGAUGAAUAAGCACCGGCUAACUCCGUGCCAGCAGCCGCGGUAAUACGGAGGGUGCAAGCGUUAUCCGGAUUCACUGGGUUUAAAGGGUGCGUAGGCGGGCAGGUAAGUCAGUGGUGAAAUCCCCGAGCUUAACUUGGGAACUGCCGUUGAUACUAUCUGUCUUGAAUGUUGUGGAGGUAAGCGGAAUAUGUCAUGUAGCGGUGAAAUGCUUAGAUAUGACAUAGAACACCUAUUGCGAAGGCAGCUUGCUACACAACCAUUGACGCUGAGGCACGAAAGCGUGGGGAUCAAACAGGAUUAGAUACCCUGGUAGUCCACGCCCUAAACGAUGGAUACUCGACAUCAGCGAUACACUGUUGGUGUCUGAGCGAAAGCAUUAAGUA
This 838-nucleotide ribosomal RNA is filed under the name Flavitalea sp. RNAcentral describes it as "bacterial SSU rRNA". It matches the Rfam family "Bacterial small subunit ribosomal RNA", at positions 32 to 866 of the family's 1533-position model. The record is from RNAcentral. Lineage: Bacteria; Pseudomonadati; Bacteroidota; Chitinophagia; Chitinophagales; Chitinophagaceae.